Molecule: ribosomal RNA, 454 nt
Filed under: uncultured Methanolinea sp.
Lineage: Archaea; Methanobacteriati; Methanobacteriota; Methanomicrobia; Methanomicrobiales; Methanoregulaceae
Description: bacterial SSU rRNA
Rfam family: Archaeal small subunit ribosomal RNA
Source: RNAcentral
CAGGUGGAGCCUGCGGUCUAAUCGGACUCAACGCCGGGCAGCUCACCGGAUAAGGCAGCUGGAUGAUAGCCGGGCUGAAGACUCUGCUUGACUAGCUGAGAGGAGGUGCAUGGCCGUCGUCAGUUCGUACUGUGAAGCAUCCUGUUAAGUCAGGCAACGAGCGAGACCCACGCCAACAGUUGCCAGCAUGUCCUCCGGGAUGAUGGGGACACUGUUGGGACCGCCUCUGCUAAAGAGGAGGAAGGAAUGGGCAACGGUAGGUCAGCAUGCCCCGAAUUAUCCGGGCUACACGCGGGCUACAAUGGUCAGGACAAUGGGUAUCGACACCGAGAGGUGGAGGCAAUCUCCUAAACCUGUCCUUAGUUCGGAUUGUGGGCUGCAACUCGCCCACAUGAAGCUGGAAUCCGUAGUAAUCGCGUUUCAAAAUAGCGCGGUGAAUAUGUCCCUGCUCCUU